GGAUAGUUGGCAGAGUGGCAAUGCAGCGGAUUGCUAAUCCGUAAACUGGCAACGGUUCACAGGUUCGAGUCCUGUACUAUCCGCCA
Molecule: transfer RNA, 86 nt
Filed under: Salmonella enterica
Lineage: Bacteria; Pseudomonadati; Pseudomonadota; Gammaproteobacteria; Enterobacterales; Enterobacteriaceae
Description: tRNA-Ser
Rfam family: tRNA
About the family: Transfer RNA (tRNA) molecules are approximately 80 nucleotides in length. Their secondary structure includes four short double-helical elements and three loops (D, anti-codon, and T loops). Further hydrogen bonds mediate the characteristic L-shaped molecular structure. tRNAs have two regions of fundamental functional importance: the anti-codon, which is responsible for specific mRNA codon recognition, and the 3' end, to which the tRNAs corresponding amino acid is attached (by aminoacyl-tRNA synthetases). tRNAs cope with the degeneracy of the genetic code in two manners: having more than one tRNA (with a specific anti-codon) for a particular amino acid; and 'wobble' base-pairing, i.e. permitting non-standard base-pairing at the 3rd anti-codon position.
Source: RNAcentral